Molecule: ribosomal RNA, 553 nt
Filed under: uncultured marine crenarchaeote
Lineage: Archaea; Thermoproteati; Thermoproteota
Description: bacterial SSU rRNA
Rfam family: Archaeal small subunit ribosomal RNA
Source: RNAcentral
UUCCGGUUGAUCCCGCCGGACCUGACUGCUAUCGGAUUGAUACUAAGCCAUGCGAGUCAUUGUAGCAAUACAAGGCAUACGGCUCAGUAACGCGUAGUCAACCUAACCUAUGGACGGGAAUAACCUCGGGAAACUGAGAAUAAUGCCCGAUAGAACAUUAUGCCUGGAAUGGUUUAUGUUCCAAAUGAUUUAUCGCCGUAGGAUGGGACCGCGGCCUAUCAGUUUGUUGGUGAGGUAAUGGCCCACCAAGACUAUUACAGGUACGGGCUCUGAGAGGAGUAGCCCGGAGAUGGGUACUGAGACACGGACCCAGGCCCUAUGGGGCGCAGCAGGCGAGAAAACUUUGCAAUGUGCGAAAGCACGACAAGGUUAAUCCGAGUGGUUUCUGCUAAAGGAACCUUUUGUCAGUCCUAGAAACACUGAUGAAUAAGGGGUGGGCAAGUUCUGGUGUCAGCCGCCGCGGUAAAACCAGCACCUCAAGUGGUCAGGGUGAUUAUUGGGCCUAAAGCAUCCGUAGCCGGCUCUGUAAGUUUUCGGUUAAAUCUGUACGCUC